CGCGUAGGCGGUAAUGUAAGUCAGACGUGAAAUCCUUCGGCUCAACUGAAGAACUGCGUCUGAGACUGCAUGACUAGAGUGCAGAAGAGGGAAACGGAAUUCCAGGUGUAGAGGUGAAAUUCGUAGAUAUCUGGAGGAACACCGGUGGCGAAGGCGGUUUCCUGGUCUGACACUGACGCUGAGGCGCGAAAGCGUGGGGAGCAAACAGGAUUAGAUACCCUGGUAGUCCACGCCGUAAACGGUGGGUACUGGGUGUGGGAGGUGUAAUGCCUUCUGUGCCGAAGCUAACGCGUUAAGUACCCCGCCUGGGGAGUACGGCCGCAAGGUUGAA
Molecule: ribosomal RNA, 331 nt
Filed under: uncultured bacterium
Lineage: Bacteria
Description: bacterial SSU rRNA
Rfam family: Bacterial small subunit ribosomal RNA
Source: RNAcentral